RNAcentral lists this ribosomal RNA (373 nucleotides) under uncultured eukaryote. RNAcentral's name for it is "SSU rRNA". It matches the Rfam family "Eukaryotic small subunit ribosomal RNA", at positions 587 to 972 of the family's 1831-position model. The record is from RNAcentral.
AGCUCCAAUAGCGUAUAUUAAUGUUGUUGCAGUUAAAAAGCUCGUAGUCGGAUUUCAGUUUGCUCAUGUUGGUACCUUUAGGUGCUGUGCAUUAGCUUACUUCAUGACGGAAACAUUCAUGCCAUUCGUUUGGUGUGUUUCGGGACCGUCUCUUUUACUUUGAGAAAAUUAGAGUGUUCAAAGCAGGUCUUCGCCUGAAUAUUACUCUUGGAAUAAUAACUAUAGGACUCCAGUCUUAGUUUGUUGGUGAAUUGGGACCGGAGUAAUGAUUGAUAGGGACGGUUGGGGUGACUCAUACUGCAAAGCGAGAGGUGAAAUUCUUGGACCUUUGUAUGAUGAACAACUGCGAAAGCAUUUCACUAGGACGUUCCCG